RNAcentral lists this ribosomal RNA (500 nucleotides) under uncultured bacterium. RNAcentral describes it as "partial 16S ribosomal RNA". It matches the Rfam family "Bacterial small subunit ribosomal RNA", at positions 30 to 523 of the family's 1533-position model. The record is from RNAcentral.
AUUGAACGCUGGCGGCAUGCCUUACACAUGCAAGUCGAACGGCAGCGCGGACUUCGGUCUGGUGGCGAGUGGCGAACGGGUGAGUAAUACAUCGGAACGUACCCUGUUGUGGGGGAUAACUAGUCGAAAGAUUAGCUAAUACCGCAUACGACCUGAGGGUGAAAGUGGGGGACCGCAAGGCCUCACGCAGCAGGAGCGGCCGAUGUCUGAUUAGCUAGUUGGUGGGGUAAGGGCCCACCAAGGCGACGAUCAGUAGCUGGUCUGAGAGGACGAUCAGCCACACUGGGACUGAGACACGGCCCAGACUCCUACGGGAGGCAGCAGUGGGGAAUUUUGGACAAUGGGGGCAACCCUGAUCCAGCAAUGCCGCGUGUGUGAAGAAGGCCUUCGGGUUGUAAAGCACUUUUGUCCGGAAAGAAAUCGCGCUGGUUAAUACCUGGCGUGGAUGACGGUACCGGAAGAAUAAGCACCGGCUAACUACGUGCCAGCAGCCGCAGUAA